CUGCUCAAUGAUUUUUUAAAUUGCUGUGGUAUUUUGACUAUACAAAGGUAUUGAAAUAAGAUUUUAAAUUGAAUGCUAAGAGAAUGGAAUUUCAGGGAAAAACUUUAUUUAAACUAAUAAUUAAAGUUUUUUUAAUUUGUGCAGAAACAAUUAUAUAAAUUAAGGACAAGAAGACCCUAUGAAUUUAUAAAACUUAUUUUUUUUAUUAAUAUAACUAAUAAGUUUUAGCUGGGGCGGCAAGAAAAUAUAAAAAACUUUUCAUUAUUAAAAUGAUCCAUUAUUAAUGAUUAAAUGAAAAAAUACUCUAGGGAUAACAGCGUUAUAUUUUUUGAUAGAUCAUAUUGACAAAAAAGUUUGCGACCUCGAUGUUGGAUUAGGAUACUUUUUUAAUGCAGAUAUUAAAAAAAGAAGUUUGUUCAACUUUUAAAUUCCUACUUGAUCUGAGUUCAGACCGG
RNAcentral lists this ribosomal RNA (455 nucleotides) under Rhipicephalus appendiculatus. Its description in RNAcentral is "16S ribosomal RNA". The stretch from base 310 to 455 matches the Rfam family "Bacterial large subunit ribosomal RNA", at positions 2473 to 2619 of the family's 2925-position model. The record is from RNAcentral. Lineage: Eukaryota; Metazoa; Arthropoda; Arachnida; Ixodida; Ixodidae.